This 253-nucleotide ribosomal RNA is filed under the name uncultured bacterium. RNAcentral's name for it is "partial 16S ribosomal RNA". It matches the Rfam family "Bacterial small subunit ribosomal RNA", at positions 524 to 776 of the family's 1533-position model. The record is from RNAcentral.
UACGUAGGGCGCAAGCGUUGUCCGGAAUUAUUGGGCGUAAAGAGCUCGUAGGCGGCCUGUUGCGUCCGCUGUGAAAUCCCGGGGCUCAACCCCGGGCGUGCAGUGGAUACGGGCUGGCUGGAGGCAGGCAGGGGAGAACGGAAUUCCUGGUGUAGCGGUGAAAUGCGCAGAUAUCGGGAAGAACACCCGUGGCGAAGGCGGCUCUCUAGUACGGUACUGACGCUGAGACGCGAAAGCGUGGGGAGCGAACAGG